CACAUAUAUAGGGUGUUCUUCUGAAGCGGCUUUUCAAUUAGUUUUUUUUAAUUCAGUCAACGCUGUCCCUCAAACACCCUCUCCAAUGCUCGACGAUGUUUGAAUUUACUUUCCCUUCCCAAAUGACAUCCAAAGGUUCUGACAUAACGAAGUAGCGAGAAUCGUCCUUAUACUCCGUAAACUGAGGAAAAAUAAAUGCCUCACGGGAAGACGUUAAAGCUGCCCGUGUCUUCCCGUCAAAACUCAAGGCCGAUCCCGUCACUGCCCUGUCGAGGGUCAGAGACGGCCUAUUCCCGCGGAGCAGCACCGUGCUUUCCUGAACACCCGCUCCCGAUGUCCACCGUGAGUUUUCCAGCUUUCAAAGCGCAUAAAACACUUCAAGCUCAGGUUGACGUCGUGACAACUUCAGAUGACAUCAGCCGUUCGCGUGAGGGAUCAGCGCGCUCGUGCAUAUCUGCCAACUCCAGAAGACCAAUUCUGAAAGAUUUCAACUUCCAAGAAGAAGAAAACACUGAUGGCAUUUGACAAGUCAAAGUGUGCUGAGGCAACGCCUCAAGCCGUUUGAUCGGGCUGGCAGUUCAACACUCGUGGAGUUCAGAGAAAGAAUGAGCUCUCAUACUCUAGUGCUUAAAACCCCGCGCCAGUGCUCCGACAUUAUCCACCUCUUUAAUCUCCACUUUGUCCGUUUAGCAUUCCUCCGAAACUCCGUUCGAGACCGCUAUGUUUCACGGGCAAGCUCAUGCCAGGCGAACGCUCCGCAGCUGCGUCGCGUCGCGUCCUCUUCCGUUCGCUCUCGGUUCUCCUCCCCGUCUCCACGAGCCUGUUAAAAGGAACGGCGGCUUCAGGCAGGAGUUGGACACCGCUGGUAGACGCUUUACCCGGGCGCUGCGAUCACGAGCACCACCACCAUGUUUUGAGCACACUCGGAAAAGAUGGUUGUGGGCGUGCGGUGGGGUGGACAGCUUCACACACUGUGGAAAUUAGGGGAGGAGGGGGAUAGUCGCUGGGGAGCGCGCACGCAGGGCUCUUUAACGGAGGCGCGCACGCACGGGAACAGCUUCACUCUCAAGUUUGACUGAUGUUCCCUUGGCCUGGAGUUCAUGUUAUACCAUCAAAAGAACAGGUACGGUUAGUAUAACUGUCGCUCUAUUAGUCUCUGAGAAAUUCAUAGCUGUUAUAUAAGUAAGUUAGUAAAAAAUAAGAAAGUAAAUAAACUUGUGUACUAAA
Carassius carassius (crucian carp) is the source of this 1227-nucleotide long non-coding RNA. RefSeq lists it as uncharacterized. The record is from RefSeq and is a predicted model, not a curated record. The transcript has 3 exons. Lineage: Eukaryota; Metazoa; Chordata; Actinopteri; Cypriniformes; Cyprinidae.